UGCGGGAUAGUAGUACAACAAAGGAGUUAUUAAAGAUAUGUCAAUAGCUACAUGUAUAUAUAUUAAGAGGAUUCAAUUAUACUGGACUUCUGAUAUUAGCGAUCAUCAAUUGACUAUUAUCAUUUUUUAAGUUACCACCAACUUUAAAUGUGUUCAAUUUGCCUGUCCGUCUAUCCGUCCGUCCAUCAUACUUCAGUUUCAGUUAGAAAUGCUUUGACCAAAUGAUUCUAUUAUUGGUUUGUACAGCUUAAUAUUAUGUUACAGGUCAAUUUUGUGAUUAAUGCUGUUGGAAUAACAUCUCAGAUGGGUGUGUGCCAUAAGAAAUUAAGAAUGGUCUUACAAUUAUUAGGGCCAUAUCUAUCUUGCCCUACCAGUAAGCCAGGUUUGCCCGGCUAUUGCAAUCCCAUGAAGUUCAUCAUCUGUUAACUUUCAAAAAUUGAUUAUAAGAUGAUGAACUCGGAACAAGGUCCGACUAAACUCAAUUAUCUUUUCAAGUAUCUACUUGUAUGCAAC
Molecule: long non-coding RNA, 513 nt
Filed under: Mytilus galloprovincialis (Mediterranean mussel)
Lineage: Eukaryota; Metazoa; Mollusca; Bivalvia; Mytilida; Mytilidae
Source: RNAcentral